This 465-nucleotide ribosomal RNA is filed under the name uncultured bacterium. RNAcentral describes it as "partial 16S ribosomal RNA". It matches the Rfam family "Bacterial small subunit ribosomal RNA", at positions 338 to 795 of the family's 1533-position model. The record is from RNAcentral.
CCUACGGGAGGCAGCAGUGGGGAAUAUUGCUCAAUGGGCGAAAGCCUGACGCAGCGAUGCCGCGUGAGGGAUGACGGUCUUCUGAUCUUUAACCUCCUUCAGCAGGGAAGAACGGUCACUUUGCUAAUCAUCACUGAAUUUAUGGUACCUUAAAAGGAAGCACCGGCUAACUCCGUGCCAGCCGCCGCUGUAAUACGGAGGGUGCGAGCGUUAAUCGGAAUUACUGGGAGUAAAGCGCUCGUAGGCGGUAUGUCAAGUCAAGGGUGAAAUCCCCGGGCUCAACGUGGGAACUGCCUUUGAAACGGGCAAACUGGAGUGUGUGAGAGGAUAGUGGAAUUCCAGGUGUAGGAGUGAAAUCCGUAGAUAUCUGGAGGAACAUCAGUGGCGAAGGCGACUAUCUGGCACAUAACUGACGCUGAGGAGCGAAAGCGUGGGUAGCAAACAGGAUUAGAUACCCUUGUAGUC